AUGGUUCUGGAAACAUUUUCAAAGUUUCUGAAAAGGUACGAGGCCGAGGCCGCCCACUUCCUCCACCAGAACGCCACUGCUGGGCCCCUCCCCGAGGUGCACGUGCUGGCAAACUGCUGCAUCCUCAGGGAAACGUGGCAGGAGCUGAGCUGGGCACACAUUCUGCCGGCACAUCUGGACGCUGUCGUGCAAGACACCAUCCACGACAUCGAGAGCCACAGCCGGGACCACUUCCUGUUUAAGGGCAGAGCCCUGUGCAAGAGUCUGCUCCUGGGUUACUUCGUGAGGAAGGACAAGGAUCUGGUUGGAGCUCUGGAGGCCUUGUGGCAGAGUCUGGAGGGCCGUCCCAAAAUGUACUCCACUCUCACGUAUGAGGACAUCAUGCGAAGUUUGCAUGUGGUGGUCUUUGGGGAGUACAUCCAGGCCCUGGCCACCCACCUCAAGAAGCUGGCGCCCAAGAAGUGGGAGGACAUCUUGGUUCAGGUGAACACUGACACCACGAAGUUGCACAACAUCUUCACGAAGCACAGGGUGAGUGUGGACCUCUUGGGGAAGGCCGGGUGCUGGGGGCCUUCCAGUUCUGUGUCCUGGCCCCCCGUCUGGGCAGGUGUGCUCUCCUCACCCCAGCCACACACAGGCCCACCAGCGCUGGGCUACCUGCUCUCACGGCAAGGCUGUGAGGUGGGGGCAGGGAUGUCUCACGCUCUGACCAGCAGUACAGGCCGGGUGAGGGGCCUGAGGUAG
RNAcentral lists this long non-coding RNA (744 nucleotides) under Canis lupus dingo (dingo). RNAcentral's name for it is "lncRNA (ENSCAFG00020008764.1)". Lineage: Eukaryota; Metazoa; Chordata; Mammalia; Carnivora; Canidae. The record is from RNAcentral.